CGGUGGAUUAGUGGCGAAGGUGAGUAACACGUGAGCAAUGUACCCUUGACUCUGGGAUAACUGCGGGAAACUGUAGAAUACCGGAUACGACCUUGGAAGGCAUCUUCCGGGGUGGAAAGUUUUUCGGUCAAGGAAGCUCGCGGCCUAUCAGCUAGUUGGUGAGGUAACGGCUCACCAAGGCAACGACGGGUACGGCCUGAGAGGGUGACCGGCCACACUGGGACUGAGACACGGCCCAGACUCCUACGGGGCAGCAGUGGGGAAUAUUGCACAAUGGGCGAAAGCCUGAUGCAGCAACGCCGCGUGAGACGAAGGCCUUCGGGUUGUAAACCUCUUUUAGUAGGGAAGAAGCGAAAGUGACGGUACGCAGAAAAAGCACCGGCUAACUACGUGCCAGCAGCCGCGGUAAUACGUAGGGUGCAAGUUGUCCGGAAUUAUUGGGCGUAAAGAGCUCGUAGGCGGUUUGUCGCGUCUGCUGUGAACCCGAGGCUCAACCUCGGGCCUGCAGUGGGUACGGGCAGACUAGAGUGCGGUAGGGGAAUGGAAUUCCUGGUGUAGCGGUGGAAUGCGCAGAUAUCAGGAGGAACACCAAUGGCGAGCAGUUCUCUGGGCCGUAACUGACGCUGAGGAGCGAAAGCGUGGGGAGCAAACAGGAUGAUACCCUGGUAGUCCACGCCGUAAACGUUGGGCGCUAGUUGUGGGGACCAUCCACGG
Molecule: ribosomal RNA, 714 nt
Filed under: uncultured bacterium
Lineage: Bacteria
Description: bacterial SSU rRNA
Rfam family: Bacterial small subunit ribosomal RNA
Source: RNAcentral